RNAcentral lists this ribosomal RNA (861 nucleotides) under uncultured organism. Its description in RNAcentral is "bacterial SSU rRNA". It matches the Rfam family "Bacterial small subunit ribosomal RNA", at positions 24 to 860 of the family's 1533-position model. The record is from RNAcentral.
UCAGAAUGAACGCUGGCGGCGUGCUUAACACAUGCAAGUCGAACGAGAANUUCUCUUCGGAGAGCGAGUAGAGUGGCGCACGGGUGAGUAACACGUGGAUAAUCUACCUUUGAAUCUGGAAUAACCUUUCGAAAGAAAGGCUAAUACCGGAUAAGGUCAAGAUACCCCUGCGUGUUUUGAUGAAAGUCGGCCUCUGAUUCAAGCCGAUGUUUGAAGAUGAGUCCGCGCACCAUUAGCUUGUUGGUGGGGUAACGGCCUACCAAGGCAACGAUGGUUAGCUGGUCUGAGAGGAUGAUCAGCCACACUGGAACUGACACACGGUCCAGACUCCUACGGGAGGCAGCAGUGAGGGAUUUUGCGCAAUGGGGGAAACCCUGACGCAGCAGCGCCGCGUGAGUGAAGAAGGCCCUUGGGUCGUAAAACUCUGUCAACAGGGAAGAAGUUGACGUGUAUUAACAGUAUGCGUCAUUGACGGUACCUGUGAAGGAAGCACCGGCUAACUCCGUGCCAGCAGCCGCGGUAACACGGGGGGUGCAAGCGUUAUUCGGAAUUAUUGGGCGUAAAGGGCACGCAGGCGGCCCUGUCAGUCAGAUGUGAAAGCCCGGGGCUUAACCCCGGACGUGCAUUUGAAACAGCAGGGCUUGAGUAUGGUAGAGGAGAGGGGAAUUCCUGGUGUAGAGGUGAAAUUCGUAGAUAUCAGGAGGAACACCGGUGGCGAAUGCGCCUCUCUGGGCCAAUACUGACGCUGAGGUGCGAAGGCGUGGGUAGCGAACAGGAUUAGAUACCCUGGUAGUCCACGCAGUAAACGUUGUAUACUAGGUGUAGCGGGUAUUGACUCCUGCUGUGCCGGAGCUAACGUAU